Long non-coding RNA from Aphidius gifuensis, 1042 nucleotides. RefSeq lists it as uncharacterized. The transcript has 4 exons. The record is from RefSeq and is a predicted model, not a curated record. Lineage: Eukaryota; Metazoa; Arthropoda; Insecta; Hymenoptera; Braconidae.
AUCAUCUAGCUUGUUUAAUAAUACGUCGUACAAAACCAUUAUCAGCAAAUAUUAAAUCUUAAUCAAAUGAAGCUAAUGACACAACUAAAAAUUCACCCAUUAGAUUAUUAUCAUCUAUUGAACUUGCUGAAUUUCAUCAAAUAAGUGAACAAGUAUUUCCAGCUUCAUUACAUCAUCAUGUUUGGAUUGGUAUUGUCAAUAAACCAAAACCAUUAAACACUCAAAAUUUAUAAUCUAAAAAACAUUAAUUCAGCACUGUCAUGUAUUUAAAAAUUUACAAAUAUCUGCUCAUAAUUUAAAUCAAGCAUCACCAGAUAGUCUCAGUCAAUUAGACAUUGAUGCAUUUUUAAAUGCAACAAUUUUAUGUUCAUCUGUUAUUGUUGAAGAUCAUAAAAAAGUGGAUUUUUAAAUCUACAAUCAACAAGUACCACACCAAUAAGUUCAACUGUUAUUAGAAAAAAACGUACAUCAUCAGCACAGCCACCAAUAAAUUGUCCAUUAUCAUCACCAAUAUCAACACAAGCACUGGAACGUAUUGAUGAUUCAGGGUUUUGGUGACAGGUUACUAUCAGAAAUACGAAAAAUGUCACCAAAAGACAUAAAAAUCAGGAUAUCAGCACCACAAGAACGUUUGUACAGUACGUGGAUUGGUGGUAAAUUGUUUAUACUAACAUCAAAUUGUGUAUUACAAAAAGACAUUGCAAUGCAGCUGUUAGUUAAAUGGUAUGGUGCUAGCCAAAUGCACCUGGACAACAAGAUUUUACAUCAUUAACAUCUGAUAUUGAAAUGUUAAAUCGUCAUCAAAUAAUCAUGAUAUUUGUCAUAUUGUUUUGAUAAAAAAGAAACUACAAAACUUGUGUGAAAAACGCCCAGAAACAGUUACCAAUAAGUCAGUCACCAAGUAACACUGAAACCAUACACACCAUGGAGUUCUUUCUGGAAUCGAGUACUGAAAGUGUGGCAUUGAUGAAUGCAUUGACGGAAGAAUUCGUGCAAAAAAAUUGUUUAAAAAAAUCAAAUACACGUUUACAAACUUCUACGU